RNAcentral lists this transfer RNA (72 nucleotides) under Bos taurus (domestic cattle). It matches the Rfam family "tRNA". From Rfam's summary of the family: Transfer RNA (tRNA) molecules are approximately 80 nucleotides in length. Their secondary structure includes four short double-helical elements and three loops (D, anti-codon, and T loops). Further hydrogen bonds mediate the characteristic L-shaped molecular structure. tRNAs have two regions of fundamental functional importance: the anti-codon, which is responsible for specific mRNA codon recognition, and the 3' end, to which the tRNAs corresponding amino acid is attached (by aminoacyl-tRNA synthetases). tRNAs cope with the degeneracy of the genetic code in two manners: having more than one tRNA (with a specific anti-codon) for a particular amino acid; and 'wobble' base-pairing, i.e. permitting non-standard base-pairing at the 3rd anti-codon position. The record is from Rfam by way of RNAcentral. Lineage: Eukaryota; Metazoa; Chordata; Mammalia; Artiodactyla; Bovidae. RNAcentral also lists the same sequence under 1 other name.
UCCCUGGUGGCUCAGAUGGUAAAGAAUCUGCCCGCAAUGCAGGAGACCCAGGUUUGAUCCCUGGAUUGGGAA